GAGGGAAGAGUGAAUAUAAGUGUGGCCUGAGUGAAAAGGAGAUUCAGACACGUCUGUAAGCUGGUGAGGCCGGGCAUCGGAAACCCUAUUUACGCGACUCUGAGGAGCCUCCUGAGAAGCCAAGCUCUGUGCCGAUGGGAUCAGACACCACUGAACAUGUCCACGGUGCUUGGGGGCUUGGACAACAGAAGUCCGACACUGAGACACCUGCAGGCACGGAGUUCAUCGUCCCAGGGGAAGUUUGUUACAGUAAAUGGAUGAGCACCUGACCCAAAGGCCACCAACCAAUAAACUAGCCAGUGUCCUGUGUGAUAC
RNAcentral lists this long non-coding RNA (315 nucleotides) under Pan troglodytes (chimpanzee). Its description in RNAcentral is "lincRNA". Lineage: Eukaryota; Metazoa; Chordata; Mammalia; Primates; Hominidae. The record is from RNAcentral.